RNAcentral lists this ribosomal RNA (492 nucleotides) under uncultured bacterium. RNAcentral's name for it is "partial 16S ribosomal RNA". It matches the Rfam family "Bacterial small subunit ribosomal RNA", at positions 29 to 507 of the family's 1533-position model. The record is from RNAcentral.
AGUGAACGCUGGCGGUAGGCCUAACACAUGCAAGUCGAACGGCAGCACAGUAAGAGCUUGCUCUUACGGGUGGCGAGUGGCGGACGGGUGAGGAAUACAUAGGAAUCUACUUUUUCGUGGGGGAUAACGUAGGGAAACUUACGCUAAUACCGCAUACGACCUACGGGUGAAAGCAGGGGAUCUUCGGACCCUGCGCGAUUGAAUGAGCCGAUGUCGGAUUAGCUAGUUGGCGGGGUAAAGGUCCACCAAGGCGACGAUCCGUAGCUGGUCUGAGAGGAUGAUCAGCCACACUGGAACUGAGACACGGUCCAGACUCCUACGGGAGGCAGCAGUGGGGAAUAUUGGACAAUGGGCGCAAGCCUGAUCCAGCCAUACCGCGUGGGUGAAGAAGGCCUUCGGGUUGUAAAGCCCUUUUGUUGGGAAAGAAAAGCAGCAGGUUAAUACCCCGCUGUUCUGACGGUACCCAAAGAAUAAGCACCGGCUAACUUCGUG